RNAcentral lists this ribosomal RNA (485 nucleotides) under uncultured bacterium. RNAcentral describes it as "partial 16S ribosomal RNA". It matches the Rfam family "Bacterial small subunit ribosomal RNA", at positions 28 to 507 of the family's 1533-position model. The record is from RNAcentral.
AUUGAACGCUGGCGGCAUGCCUUACACAUGCAAGUCGAACGGCAGCGGGCCCUUCGGGGUGCCGGCGAGUGGCGAACGGGUGAGUAAUGCAUCGGAACGUACCCGGGAGAGGGGGAUAACCGGCCGAAAGGCUGGCUAAUACCGCAUGAACUCGGAAGAGCAAAGCGGGGGACCUUCGGGCCUCGCGCUCUCGGAGCGGCCGAUGUCCGAUUAGGCUAGUUGUUGGGGUAAAGGCCCACCAAGGCGACGAUCGGUAGCGGGUCUGAGAGGACGAUCCGCCACACUGGGACUGAGACACGGCCCAGACUCCUACGGGAGGCAGCAGUGGGGAAUCUUGGACAAUGGGCGCAAGCCUGAUCCAGCAAUGCCGCGUGGGUGAAGAAGGCCUUCGGGUUGUAAAGCCCUUUCGGCGGGGAAGAAAUCGGUCAGGCGAAUAGUCUGGCCGGAUGACGGUACCCGCAGAAGAAGCACCGGCUAACUACGUG